AUGCUCCAUCAGCUGCUCCUCCUCCUCCUGGUAUGCACAAGCUCCAAUUCGUCGAGAUGCUCCGUGGAGGCCCACCAGACUCACAUGACAACGCUGGCCGUCCACAGCCACCACCACAGGCCGUUCACAGCCACCACUCAUGGCCGUCACAAAAAACACCCCAAAGUGCAGACCAUACAUGAGGACAAGGGCGAGGAGGAGGCAGCAGGAAAGAGCUAA
RNAcentral lists this ribosomal RNA (219 nucleotides) under Triticum aestivum (bread wheat). Its description in RNAcentral is "partial small subunit ribosomal RNA". Lineage: Eukaryota; Viridiplantae; Streptophyta; Magnoliopsida; Poales; Poaceae. The record is from RNAcentral.